RNAcentral lists this transfer RNA (88 nucleotides) under Candidatus Nealsonbacteria bacterium CG_4_10_14_0_2_um_filter_37_10. Its description in RNAcentral is "tRNA-Ser". It matches the Rfam family "tRNA". Rfam says of the family: Transfer RNA (tRNA) molecules are approximately 80 nucleotides in length. Their secondary structure includes four short double-helical elements and three loops (D, anti-codon, and T loops). Lineage: Bacteria; Candidatus Nealsoniibacteriota. The record is from RNAcentral. RNAcentral also lists the same sequence under 2 other names.
GGAGGAGUCGGAUAGUGGUUUAUUCCAACGGCUUGGAAAGCCGUGCUUCGCAAGAGGCUCGUGGGUUCGAAUCCCACCUCCUCCGCCA